This is a non-coding RNA of Aedes albopictus (Asian tiger mosquito), 71 nucleotides long. The record is from Rfam. Lineage: Eukaryota; Metazoa; Arthropoda; Insecta; Diptera; Culicidae.
CUUCUCGUGGCGUAACAGCAACGCGCCUGUCUAAUGAGUAGGAAUCGUGAGUUCGAGUCUCAUCGAGAGGA